This 249-nucleotide unclassified non-coding RNA is filed under the name uncultured Preussia. RNAcentral's name for it is "sequence contains 5.8S rRNA gene". The stretch from base 1 to 53 matches the Rfam family "5.8S ribosomal RNA", at positions 102 to 154 of the family's 154-position model. Lineage: Eukaryota; Fungi; Ascomycota; Dothideomycetes; Pleosporales; Sporormiaceae. The record is from RNAcentral.
GAACGCACAUUGCGCCCCUUGGUAUCCCGAGGGGCAUGCCUGUUCGAGCGUCAUUUCACCACUCAAGCCUGGCUUGGUGUUGGGCGUCUGUCCUGCCUCACGGCGCGGACUCGCCUCAAAUCUAUUGGCGGCCGGCACGUUGGCUUCGAGCGCAGCAGAAACGCGAACUCGAGACCGGCGGAUCGGCUCCCAGAAGCUACCCCCAUGAAUUUGACCUCGGAUCAGGUAGGGAUACCCGCUGAACUUAAG